This is a long non-coding RNA of Bos taurus (domestic cattle), 987 nucleotides long. Lineage: Eukaryota; Metazoa; Chordata; Mammalia; Artiodactyla; Bovidae. The record is from Ensembl.
AGCAGUUCCAUGGAGGUCUGGAAACCUGAGCUCCGCCUGAGCCGGUAUCUGCUGCCACUCAGGACUGUGCUCUGAACUUGUAAGGGAAGACAGAGAUCACACCGCACGGCCUCUCUGCUCUGAUGGACAUGGAGCAUGAAGGUAAGAAGCCGCACCUUGGACCACUGUGUUGGACAUGGCACAGGUCUCAAGAUCACAAUAAUGUCCAUUCUUCAGGAACCAGCUAGAACUCCACCUCCUCCAAGAAGCCCUCCCUGACUUGGAACCCUUCUUGGGGACCCUGAGAACUCAUCCUAGCAACUACAGAUCCAAAAGCCUCCUGCAGACUGGUCUCUGGGCACCCUGCUGUGGCUCGGCGAAGGGGGCUGACAGGGGACACGGGUGGCCUCAGGUUUCCAGAGUCCACUUUCCUUCCGCACCCCUUGCAUCCUGUCAGCUUUCUGAUCAGAGCCUGACUCUGGAGCAUUCUCUCUGCCUUGGCCUCCGGGCCUACAACCUCCAGACCCCACUGGGCUCUCAGCGUAAACAGAAGCGAGGAGAAUAAUAAGGGUCGCAGGCCUUAGCAGGAGCUGGUGAUUACAGGAGGCGGAAUACAAACAAGGCCUUCACAGAGCCAGGUCUGAGGGCGCCCUGCUCUGCUCUCCACAUCCCCAGAACUUCCCAGGGCCCCCACUCUGCACCCCCAGCCCCUCAGGGGUGGGUCCUGCCUUUCUGCAAGCACCACGCCCCACAGAUGGGUCACAUCAGCUGUAGGACUUGGGCCCUGCUGGCAUCCACAUCCGCCACACAGUUUAGGGUGGCAGCGAGCUCAGCUGAAAGCCUGCAGUGCCAUGUUGGGCUCCUUUGGGGUGCACCCUCCAUUCUCUGAGCCUCAGUUUCCCCAUCGGUCAUGAGGGGGUGGACCAGGUGAUUUCCUAAGGCCAUUCCUCCCCCACGCGACGGAGAUGCUAUGAUUCAAGUAAAGAGGCCACCUUCACAGCUCCACCC